Long non-coding RNA from Canis lupus familiaris (dog), 3079 nucleotides. RefSeq lists it as uncharacterized. NCBI's taxonomy places the organism in Eukaryota, Metazoa, Chordata, Mammalia, Carnivora, Canidae. The record is from RefSeq and is a predicted model, not a curated record. The transcript has 4 exons.
CUCUGCCUGUGUCUCUGCCUCUCUCUCUCUGUGUGUCUCUCAUGAAUAAAUAAAUAAGAUCUUUAAAAAAAAAAAAAAGAAAUGGUGUUCCUUGGGCACCAUUAACAGUGGUUAACAGUGAACCUGGUGAGAAGUUGAGAGAUUCUGGAUACACUAUCUAACGCAGAUAGGAUUUGAUUAGCUAGAUGGAUAGCAUGUCAAAGAAACUACCAUAGCAAGAUUAUGAGCCUGAGCAACUGGAAGGAUGGCGUUACCAUUAACUGUGCUUGAGAGGACUUCAGGCAGUUGGAAAUUCUGUCGUGGGUAUUGUCCUUACUUGUGAAGGAGGUGGAGAUCUCUUUAAGUGAAGAGGCUAGCCUUAGUGGGAAGCACGGACAGCUCAUCAUCAGAGUCCAGGCAGACAGGUACAAGCCCAUGCAAGCUCUUCUGUGUAAUUGAUUUUUUUUUUAAAUAGAAGUAUAGUUCACAUACAAUGUUACAUUAGUUUCAGGUGUACAAGGUAGUGAUUUGACAGCUCUAUAUAUUAUGCUAUGCCCUCUCAUGAUGACUUCUUUUUUUUUUUUUUUUCAAUGAAUAGCACUCAGGGUCAUAGGCCAAGAGUGAAUAUGCAGGGAGGAAGUGUUUGAAGUUUGAAGAGACCUUUGUCAAGGAGAGUGGGGGAUGAGUGGAUGAGGAUAGGGAAGUAAAAUUCCUGGGCAGCAUUAAAAGCCCACUGGACCUUAACAUGGUUAUGUGUUUUUCUUCAGCCACCUUAAGGCACACAGGUGCAGAUGUGUAGUUGGAAUUAGCCGUGACUAAAGGUUUGCUGAGUAUGAUGGAAUGAAAGAAGGGGAAAGACAUUUCACAUUCAAGAAAUGCACUUAUCUCACCCUAGGGGUAGAGGAAGUGGGAAGUAACACCCUUUGAAAGGAGAGCCUCAGGGGAAGCUGGGUCUUAGGGGAGAGACAGGUUUCAUUCAGAGCAAAGAAGUAAAGGAAGCUUUCAAAGAGGCUGAGGAUAUGGUGGUGGGGGGUGGGUGGGGUUGUUACUCCUGGUAAGUCUGUUUCAGUGGAGUGCUGUGGCCUGGUUGGAGGGAGUGGGUCAAGGAACAAGUGAGAGAACAGUUGAUAGAAAAAUGGACAGCUCUUUACAAAAUUUUUGCUCUGAAGGUGCUGGAUGAGCUGAAGGUUGAAGGCAAAGUUUGUGUGUGUUUUAAGAUAGAUAUUUUAGUAUGUUUUUAUACCAAGAAAAAAAAAUCCUGUUAAGAGGGUAAACAAUUGCCAAUACAAGAGAAUAAUGGGAUAAAUGUGGUGAUCCUUGCAGAAGCAAAGCCCCUGAGAAGGUCAGAGGGCACUGGACUGAAGGCCUAAGUGGAAGAAUUGGCUUUAGAACCAACUCUGUACAAGGGAAGUGGCAAAGAAGGCUGCAGGCAGGAAGGUUGGUGGGAACGUGAGCUGGAAAGAUUAGUUCUCUUUGGAAUGACUCUCUUUUUAUCUUUUCAAGUAUGAGAGGUUGUCAUCUGGUGGAGGAGGAGAAUGCUGGAGAGCUGAUGAAAGGGUUAGGAGGAACAGUCAUGAUGUUGGAAAAAUGAAUUUACUAAGGAAUUACAGAAAGUUUGUUUCGCAGGAUCGAGUGCCUGCCUGAGAUUUGUGGUUCUAAAUCUGAAGUGAGAUCAGUCAACAGAGUUGUGUAAUGUUUCUCUAUCAAGCCCUGCUGCACAGGUACAGGUGCCAAGCACGUGGCUUCACAAGGGCUGAGGGCUGUCCAGGUGAGAGUGAUGGACGGAGCAAGGUACAAGGGGGUUAGGAUGUUUGUGGUAAAGUGGUGCCAAUGUGAGGCUGCCAUCCAGGCUUCAUAAGGGAGGAAGCAAGGACAGGAACGGGGUUCUGGAUAAUGACAAAGGGUAUUAUGAUCGAGAGGCUGGAGUGAAAGAACCAGUGUAAAUGAACUCCAAGGGUAGAGGACUGGGAACGGAGAGGGGGUGUAUGAGAUUAAGAUUGUGGACAUGGUGCAUUACUGAUUUUUCUCCCUCAAGUGAAAAAAGCCUUAACCAAGUGAAACUUUUAUGAUCAAGGUGAUGUUGCUUUUGGCUACCCUAAAGAAAGCACUUUCUGAUUAUAUCACUGGUUUAGUCAGGCUUUGUUUGGCUAGGAGAGUUAGCGGGAACUUCACAAUUGAUUCCAAUAUAAUGAGUGCUUUAUGUUUUAUCACAGGGAAGCACUAGAUCAUACAGGGGAAAUCUAUAAAUUGUUUUAACAUCAAUACUGAGAGAUACAUUUGGCUUUAACUUUCCACAGAGAACACUGAUCCUUCUGAGUUGAAUGAGGAACAGAGCCAGGAUGGUCCUUUGAUCAUUACACGGUGAACUUUUCACACCACCAUAGGUGUACUGCUGCCAGAAGCGAGGACAACUACACUUAUAUAUGGGAACCUCCCCUGAGAAUUAGUGAUUGCAUUGUUUUCUCUUAUUACAAAAGCAAUGUAUACUCACUAUGGAAUAUAAAGUCAAGAAAAUAAGAUGGAAAGGACUCACUCAGAAGCAAUCAUAAUGAGUAUUUUCUGGGCCCAUUUCAAUGAAGAUAUGUGUACACAGGAACAAAUUACUGAGUUAUUACAGCAAUUAGCCGGCUUCAUGCUACAGGAAUAACAAUGAUAAGGCAGCUGUUAAUAAAGCUUCAUUCAACUGUUCAAACCCACAAAAUUAUAAUUUCCAGGAAAAUAAUCACUGAGCAGUGAGAACUAACAGAUAUAUUGGGUAAAAUGCAGUCAUCUAAAUUGUUCAGAACGGUAAGAGAGUAAAUAUCAGAAUACUUAUUUCAAUAAGAAUAGACAAAAAGGAAAAAGGGAGAAACAUUUAACAGUAUUUUGUAUACAUUAAAAACAUUAAAGCCUAAAAAGUUGUUGAGUCAAUACUUUAUUUUUCUAAUCUUUCAACCUAAUUAUUUUAAGGAAGUCAACUCCACUGUCACUGAGAUACCUGCUCACAGCUAACAAUGACUCUAAUCCCUUCCACCAUCUUUUCUUUCAAUUUAAGCAUAACAGAGACAUGUAUUGCUUGGACAGAGGUUUUCCUGGGAGGCUCUCACACAAAUACAAAAUA